AUACGUAGGGGGCGAGCGUUGUCCGGAAUGACUGGGCGUAAAGGGCGCGUAGGCGGCCCGGUAAGUCUGGAGUGAAAGUCCUGUUUUUAAGAUGGGAAUUGCUUUGGAUACUGUCGGGCUUGAGUGCAGGAGAGGUAAGUGGAAUUCCCAGUGUAGCGGUGACAUGCGUAGAGAUUGGGAGGAACACCAGUGGCGAAGGCGACUUACUGGACUGUAACUGACGCUGAGGCGCGAAAGUGUGGGGAGCAAACAGGAUUAGAUACCCUGGUAGUCCACACUGUAAACGAUGAAUGCUAGGUGUAGGGGGUAUCGACCCCUUCUGUGCCGCAGUCAACACAAUAAGCAUUCCGCCUGGGGAGUACGGCCGCAAGGUUGAAACUCAAAUGAAUUGACGGGG
RNAcentral lists this ribosomal RNA (397 nucleotides) under uncultured bacterium. Its description in RNAcentral is "partial 16S ribosomal RNA". It matches the Rfam family "Bacterial small subunit ribosomal RNA", at positions 523 to 918 of the family's 1533-position model. The record is from RNAcentral.